GCCUUUUGAUUUUCUUUUGGAUAGAGAAGCAGGUUGCUGGGUCUCCUCCUUACACAAGCCCAGCAUUCAGGUGUAUUAAUUACACCACCACCGGGGUGUGAUGAUGCCUCUUUUCCAAUCUGAUUUCAGAGAGAAAACAACCAGGUGGAUUCAGCCUUUGUAUUAGGAAUUCAAGGAAGUGUCUGGUAGGACGAGGCCCCGUCCCUGGAGGAAUUCAGUGUGCCAUCUGGGAGAAGCAGAUAACUCAAGAUGAUUAUGCUGUGAGAUAAAGCCUGCUGCGCUGAGGUGUGAGGAAGAAAGAGUCUUGUGGAACUCAGAGAGCAGCUUCAUUUUCAUUUAGACCCUGUCUGGCUGGCCCAGUUGUUGCUACAGCUGUCUCCUAGCAACUGCGCUGCCCCUGGGCCAUUCAUUCCAGGGAAGACCCCCCCCAACCCCCCAGUGAUGAUGUUUCCAUGAGGGCCUAGAAGGGUUCCCAGCCACCAGCCUAGGUCCCUCUGCCGAAUUACACCCACUGAAUCAACACCUCUAUAGACGGGGUCCAGGCGUGUGUGUCUUUCUAAGCAUCCUAGCCAGCACAGCCUCUGAGUUCUGCAGGCCUCGCUUCUUCCUCUCUACUUCUGGCACGCAGAUGUAAAGGGUCCUCUCCCGCAAACACUGCCACGGCUGUCCGCCGCCCUGAAGUCUGUUUCUGCCACCGCUGUUCCUUCCUGAAGACCCCUGUGGAGCGGAAUCGAGGCUCCCGCGCUGCAUCCUCUACCAGCAGCCGCGCCUGCUCUUUCUCCUUCCCAAGGCCUUCAGCAGCACUCAUCUCGGCAGAGCUCAAAAGGAGGCCACGGAAUUGUGUCCCUUCAGAUACCUUCAAGACCGAGGCACCAGCUUACCCUCCCUCAGAGAUGCAAGCUAUACCGCAAACAAAUUAAAUAUCCAGUGCAGUGGUAUUUGCUGGCUGCUUUUAGUUCAUGCCCUAAAUCCUUC
This 975-nucleotide long non-coding RNA is filed under the name Heterocephalus glaber (naked mole-rat). RNAcentral's name for it is "lncRNA (ENSHGLG00100042439.1)". The record is from RNAcentral. Lineage: Eukaryota; Metazoa; Chordata; Mammalia; Rodentia; Bathyergidae.